UCUGGGAGUAUGAUGAAUCCCAUUAAACAAAUGGGUUAUUUGCCACUGAUUUUAUAUUGAUGUUUUAUUCACCUUGGAGAACUGAUUCCCAGA
Brassica napus (rape) is the source of this 93-nucleotide non-coding RNA. Lineage: Eukaryota; Viridiplantae; Streptophyta; Magnoliopsida; Brassicales; Brassicaceae. The record is from Rfam.